This 478-nucleotide ribosomal RNA is filed under the name uncultured bacterium. RNAcentral's name for it is "partial 16S ribosomal RNA". It matches the Rfam family "Bacterial small subunit ribosomal RNA", at positions 28 to 523 of the family's 1533-position model. The record is from RNAcentral.
GACGAACGCUGGCGGCGUGCUUAACACAUGCGAGUCGAACGGUAAGGCCCUUCGGGGUACACGAGUGGCGAACGGGUGAGUAACACGUGGGUGAUCUGCCCUGCACUUCGGGAUAAGCCUGGGAAACUGGGUCUAAUACCGGAUAGGACCACUGCCCGCAUGGGUGGUGGUGGAAAGCUUUUGCGGUGUGGGAUGGGCCCGCGGCCUAUCGGCUUGUGAGUGGGGUGAUGGCCUACCAAGGCGACGACGGGUAGCCGGCAGGAGGGGGUGACCGGCCACAGUGGGACCAGGAUACGGCCAAGAGUCCUCCGGGAGGCAGGAGUGUGGAAUAGUGCUCAGAGGGCGCAAGCCUGAGGCAGUGACGCCGCGUGAGAGGUGGCGGCCUUCGGGUUGUAAACCUCUUUCAGCAGGGACGAAGCGAGAGUGACGGUACCUGCAGAAGAAGGACCGGACAACUACGUGCCAGCCGCCGCGGUAA